RNAcentral lists this ribosomal RNA (393 nucleotides) under uncultured bacterium. Its description in RNAcentral is "partial 16S ribosomal RNA". It matches the Rfam family "Bacterial small subunit ribosomal RNA", at positions 523 to 918 of the family's 1533-position model. The record is from RNAcentral.
AUACGGAGGAUGCGAGCGUUAUCCGGAUUUAUUGGGUUUAAAGGGAGCGUAGGUGGGAUAUUAAGUCAGCUGUGAAAGUUUGGGGCUCAACCUUAAAAUUGCAGUUGAUACUGGUUUCCUUGAGUACGGUACAGGUGGGCGGAAUUCGUGGUGUAGCGGUGAAAUGCUUAGAUAUCACGAAGAACUCCGAUCGCGAAGGCAGCUCACCGGGCCGGAACUGACACUGAUGCUCGAAAGUGCGGGUAUCAAACAGGAUUAGAUACCCUGGUAGUCCGCACAGUAAACGAUGAAUACUCGCUGUUUGCGAUACACGGUAAGCGGCCAAGCGAAAGCGUUAAGUAUUCCCCCUGGGGAGUACGCCGGCAACGGUGAAACUCAAAUGAAUUGACGGGG